This 240-nucleotide unclassified non-coding RNA is filed under the name Hevea brasiliensis (rubber tree). Lineage: Eukaryota; Viridiplantae; Streptophyta; Magnoliopsida; Malpighiales; Euphorbiaceae. The record is from RNAcentral.
UGAGAUGGGACAAGAUAUUUGAUGGGGGAAUAAUGAGAAGAUUAGUCCUAGGAGAUAUUUAAGUGGAUGCAAAUUCAAGUUGGUAUAUGGCAAUCGUCAAUGCUUUUUUAUAGUUCACUUUUAUCUUUCAUGUAAUGGAUUUGAAAGGGUGAUCAUAGAUCUCUGAGAAGAAAAAAAAUGAAAUGCUUGUGCUGUUUUUCCUCAUUUUUGUGGCAAACAAUGUUAUUAAGGCGAAAGGUG